Long non-coding RNA from Mauremys mutica (yellowpond turtle), 304 nucleotides. RefSeq lists it as uncharacterized. The record is from RefSeq and is a predicted model, not a curated record. The transcript has 2 exons. Lineage: Eukaryota; Metazoa; Chordata; Testudines; Geoemydidae.
AUUAAGAAGCACCAGCCAGAACCCCAGUAGUUCUGAAAAUGAGGUCCAAGGACAAGCAUUGCUCCACAGAUGGAAGUAUUCUGAGACUAUGUAAUAAGAAACAUGUGCUGGAACUGUGGGAUGCCAAGUAAUUAGAGAAGCCAAAGCUCGGUGAAGGCACUACAACAGCAACAGCUUCUGUGCUCCUCUGCACAAAGGUGUCUGGCCACGGGGACAGUAAGCUGUUAUGGAUGCCUUUAUGACUCUGCAUACAAACAGAGCUUCCUGACUGAGGACAAGCAUGUCACACCCAUGACAAGAAGAA